UACGGAAGGGAGCUAGCGUUGUUCGGAAUCACUGGGCGUAAAGCGCACGUAGGCGGACGUGUCAGUCAGGGGUGAAAUCCCGGAGCUCAACUUCGGAACUGCCUUUGAUACAGCACGUCUUGAGUCCGGAAGAGGUGGGUGGAAUUCCUAGUGUAGAGGUGAAAUUCGUAGAUAUUAGGAAGAACACCGGUGGCGAAGGCGGCCCACUGGUCCGGUACUGACGCUGAGGUGCGAAAGCGUGGGGAGCAAACAGG
RNAcentral lists this ribosomal RNA (254 nucleotides) under uncultured bacterium. Its description in RNAcentral is "partial 16S ribosomal RNA". It matches the Rfam family "Bacterial small subunit ribosomal RNA", at positions 524 to 776 of the family's 1533-position model. The record is from RNAcentral.